AGUGAACGCUGGCGGUAGGCCUAACACAUGCCAGUCGAACGGCAGCACAGUAAGAGCUUGCUCUUACGGGUGGCGAGUGGCGGACGGGUGAGGAAUACAUCGGAAUCUACUUUUUCGUGGGGGAUAACGUAGGGAAACUUACGCUAAUACCGCAUACGACCUACGGGUGAAAGCAGGGGAUCUUCGGACCUUGCGCGAUUGAAUGAGCCGAUGUCGGAUUAGCUAGUUGGCGGGGUAAAGGCCCACCAAGGCGACGAUCCGUAGCUGGUCUGAGAGGAUGAUCAGCCACACUGGAACUGAGACACGGUCCAGACUCCUACGGGAGGCAGCAGUGGGGAAUAUUGGACAAUGGGCGCAAGCCUGAUCCAGCCAAACCGCGUGGGUGAAGAAGGCCUUCGGGUUGUAAAGCCCUUUUGUUGGGAAAGAAAAGCAGCAGGUUAAUACCCCGCUGUUCUGACGGUACCCAAAGAAUAAGCACCGGCUAACUUCGUG
RNAcentral lists this ribosomal RNA (492 nucleotides) under uncultured bacterium. RNAcentral describes it as "partial 16S ribosomal RNA". It matches the Rfam family "Bacterial small subunit ribosomal RNA", at positions 29 to 507 of the family's 1533-position model. The record is from RNAcentral.